This 259-nucleotide ribosomal RNA is filed under the name uncultured archaeon. RNAcentral describes it as "partial 16S ribosomal RNA". It matches the Rfam family "Archaeal small subunit ribosomal RNA", at positions 722 to 982 of the family's 1478-position model. The record is from RNAcentral.
CUACAUUAGAUACCCGUGUAGUCCUAGCCGUAAACGAUACUCGCUAGGUGUCGGCCACGGUGCGACCGUUGUCGGUGCCGUAGGGAAGCCGUGAAGCGAGCCACCUGGGAAGUACGGCCGCAAGGCUGAAACUUAAAGGAAUUGGCGGGGGAGCACAACAACGGGUGGAGCUUGCGGUUUAAUUGGAUUCAACGCCGGAAAUCUUACCGGGACCGACAGCAACAUGAAGGCCAAGCUGAAGACUUUGCCGGAUUAGCUG